Molecule: ribosomal RNA, 468 nt
Filed under: uncultured bacterium
Lineage: Bacteria
Description: partial 16S ribosomal RNA
Rfam family: Bacterial small subunit ribosomal RNA
Source: RNAcentral
GACGAACGCUGGCGGCGUGCUUAACACAUGCAAGUCGAACGGAAAGGCCCUGCUUUUGUGGGGUGCUCGAGUGGCGAACGGGUGAGUAACACGUGAGUAACCUGCCCUUGACUUUGGGAUAACUUCAGGAAACUGGGGCUAAUACCGGAUAGGAGCUCCUGCUGCAUGGUGGGGGUUGGAAAGUUUUGGCGGUUGGGGAUGGACUCGCGGCUUAUCAGCUUGUUGGUGGGGUAGUGGCUUACCAAGGCUUUGACGGGUAGCCGGCCUGAGAGGGUGGACGGCCACAUUGGGACUGAGAUACGGCCCAGACUCCUACGGGAGGCAGCAGUGGGGAAUAUUGCACAAUGGGCGGAAGCCUGAUGCAGCAACGCCGCGUGCGGGAUGACGGCCUUCGGGUUGUAAACCGCUUUCGCCUGUGACGAAGCGUGAGUGACGGUAAUGGGUAAAGAAGCACCGGCUAACUACGUG